UAUGGAAUCUUCGGCAAUGGGGGCAACCCUGACCGAGCAACGCCGCGUGAGUGAAGAAGGUUUUCGGAUCGUAAAGCUCUGUUGUAAGAGAAGAACGUGUGUGAGAGUGGAAAGUUCACACAGUGAAGGAAACUUACAAGAAAGGGACGGCUAACUACGUGCCAGCAGCCGCGGUAUUACGUAGGUGCCGAGUGUUGUCCGGAUUUAUUGGGCGUAAAGCGAGCGCAGGCGGUUUAAUAAGUCUGAAGUUAAAGGCAAUGGCUUAACCAGAGUUCGCUUUGGAAACUGUUAGACUAGAGUGCAGAGGAGGAGAGUGGAAUUCAAUGUGUAGCGGUGAAGUGCGUAGAUAUAUGGAGUAACACCGGUGGGGAAAGGGGCUCUCUGGUCUGUAACUGACGCUGAGGCUCGAAAGCGUGGGGAGCAAAGAGG
This 429-nucleotide ribosomal RNA is filed under the name bacterium. RNAcentral's name for it is "partial 16S ribosomal RNA". It matches the Rfam family "Bacterial small subunit ribosomal RNA", at positions 355 to 776 of the family's 1533-position model. The record is from RNAcentral.